AUUGAACGCUGGCGGCAGGCCUAACACAUGCAAGUCGAGCGGGGUUUUCGGACCUAGCGGCGGACGGGUGAGUAAUGCGUAGGAAGCUGCCCGAUAGAGGGGGAUACCAGUUGGAAACGACUGUUAAUACCGCAUAAUGUCUACGGACCAAAGUGUGGGACCUUCGGGCCGACAUGCUAUCGGAUGCGCCUACGUGGGAU
This 200-nucleotide ribosomal RNA is filed under the name uncultured bacterium. RNAcentral's name for it is "partial 16S ribosomal RNA". It matches the Rfam family "Bacterial small subunit ribosomal RNA", at positions 30 to 241 of the family's 1533-position model. The record is from RNAcentral.